GGAAAGAAGCGACCAGAAAUCGACAUGCAUAAAAAAAAUUAGAAAAGUAAAUGUUGAAUGGAAGUAUAAAGCUAAGUGUGCAUUUGUUUUUUCAGGGAAGGGGUAAAAAAACUAAUACUAAUAGACAUGCAUUCAUCUGUGCGAUCGAUACUGUUAAAGAAAAGAUAAAUAUCUGUAUGUAAAUUGCAAAGAAGCACAUUGUCCAUUUGUUAGUUUUGGUAAAAAAAAAAAACUUUGAACCAGAAAUUUGGGUAGAAAGCACAUUGUCCAUUGUUUCUUUGAGAGUAGAUGAAAAGAAUUUUUGGUUUACAAAAGAUAAAAAAAGUCGUUUUGCAAACCGGGGUCAAAUAAACGGGAAAGAAGCGACCAGAAAUCGACAUGCAUAAAAAAUUUGAAAAGUAAAUGUUGAAUGGAAGUAUAAAGCUAAACGUGCAAUGUUUUUUGCAGGGAAGGGGUAAAAAUACUAAUACUAAGAAACAUGCAUGCAUUCAUCUGUGCGAUGUUUUUUGCAGGGAAGGAGUAAAAAAAACUAAUACAAAGAAACAUGCAUUCAUCUGUGCGACAGAUGAUGUUAAAGAAAAGAUAAAUACCUGGUAUGUAGAUCGAAAAGAAGAGGCAGAAGACCGGAUAAUUCAAAUGUACAUGAUUUAAUUGAGACAACAAAGUACCUGGGUUUUUAAAAGUGGGUUUCUAGAAGUACAAGUUCAGAAAGCUGUGAAGGUGGCAGCAAGAGAAGGAACUUGGAAAUAGGAGAGGCCACGUGUUGUGAGGAGGAGUUGAUGUUGUUUUUUACAAUGUAAGUAGGUUCUAGAAGAUAAAAAAAGGAGCAGACGAAAAGCUAAAUUAAUUUUGAGCCCAAUAAAAUAAAAGCCCAAUCCAAGAAGUCAUUAAAACAAACUUAAAAAAACCCAAAUGUUAAAAAGUGAAUGGAGAAAAAACCAGGAUACCUGAUAGCGAUUUGUAGGCAUCAUUUUUGUCGAGAAAUCUGAAAUCUAUAUUAACAGGACAAAUUUAAUUUGAGGUGUUUUAGCUGCAAGAAAAUAACAAUAAUUAGUAAUUUCCU
Molecule: long non-coding RNA, 1063 nt
Filed under: Lactuca sativa (garden lettuce)
Lineage: Eukaryota; Viridiplantae; Streptophyta; Magnoliopsida; Asterales; Asteraceae
Description: long non-coding RNA (LSAT_LNC002458)
Source: RNAcentral